Molecule: unclassified non-coding RNA, 394 nt
Filed under: soil metagenome
Description: partial contains 5.8S ribosomal RNA, internal transcribed spacer 2, and large subunit ribosomal RNA
Rfam family: 5.8S ribosomal RNA (bases 1-122)
Source: RNAcentral
GAUGAAGAACGCAGCGAAAUGCGAUACCUGGUGUGAAUUGCAGAAUCCCGCGAACCAUCGAGUCUUUGAACGCAAGUUGCGCCCGAGGCCACCCGGCCGAGGGCACGCCUGCCUGGGCGUCACGCCAAAACACGCUCCCACCCCCCCUCACCGGGGGAGCGGGACGCGGCGUCUGGCCCCCCGUGCCGCGAGGCGCGGUGGGCCGAAGAUCGGGCUGCCGGCGUACCGUGCCGGGCACAGCGCGUGGUGGAUCUCUCCUCGGCGCAGUGCACCCGGCGCGUAGCCGGCGCAGCGGCCCCUAAGGACCCAACGAACGGAGCGCGAGCCGCUCCGACCGCGACCCCAGGUCAGGCGGGACUACCCGCUGAGUUUAAGCAUAUCAAUAAGCGGAGGA